Long non-coding RNA from Nymphalis io (European peacock), 659 nucleotides. RefSeq lists it as uncharacterized. The transcript is spliced from 3 exons. The record is from RefSeq and is a predicted model, not a curated record. NCBI's taxonomy places the organism in Eukaryota, Metazoa, Arthropoda, Insecta, Lepidoptera, Nymphalidae.
GUCGCCAUUUCAACGGUUCAUUGGAAAAAUUGGAAGUUCGUUACAACCAUAUUGGCGAUUUAAUUUUUAUUUUUACAUUUGCAAUUGCCUUUUUCAUUAAAAUUAUAGUAAUGAAAAAGGAAUAAACGUGACAUUUUAUUAAAAAUAAAUAUGUUUUCGACAAGUCAGUUUUACUUAUGUAUAUUUUUAGCGCUUCUUAUAAAGAAUUUAAGUGUUCAUGGCGUUAUUAAGGAAAUAAAACAUGACAAGCUCCAUGAAAACAAAAUUUAUUUAAAAGAAUUCAACAGGAAAGUGCGUCACGUUGAAGCGAUAACAGAGAAUUCGUUGAUGCAUAUUCUCAAAGUUAUCGAACGUAACUACCCGGAUUUAAAGAAGCAAAGUAAGAGAAAAAAUUUUAGCAAAUUUCUGAAUAAGUUAAAAUUGAAACUGCGACAUUAUUUAAAGAAACGAAUGCGAUUACAAAGAAGAAAUAUGAGGAAUUAACCUUUUCAGUUCAGAAGAAUAAUUGACGAUUGAUAUACAUACAAAAGAAUAUUUUAACUUUGUUAACAAUGUCGUUUCAGUUUUCUGUACCUUUUAUAUUGUAUUUGAUUAUUAGUUGUCGUUAAUAAAAAUCAUAGUCAGUGAGUCGGCUCAAUACAGUCAGAUAAAAUGUAGAA